RNAcentral lists this ribosomal RNA (305 nucleotides) under uncultured bacterium. Its description in RNAcentral is "bacterial SSU rRNA". It matches the Rfam family "Bacterial small subunit ribosomal RNA", at positions 334 to 652 of the family's 1533-position model. The record is from RNAcentral.
UACAUCCUACGGGAGGCAGCAGUGAGGGAUAUUGGGCAAUGGGCGCAAGCCUGACCCAGCAACGCCGCGUGAAGGAAGAAGGCUUUCGGGUUGUAAACUUCUUUUCUCAGGGACGAAGAAAGUGACGGUACCUGAGGAAUAAGCCACGGCUAACUACGUGCCAGCAGCCGCGGUAAUACGUAGGUGGCAAGCGUUAUCCGGAUUUAUUGGGUGUAAAGGGCGUGUAGGCGGGAGCGCAAGUCAGAUGUGAAAACUCAUGGCUCAACCCUGAGCCUGCCUUUGAAACUGUGUUUCUUGAGUGCUGG